Molecule: long non-coding RNA, 433 nt
Filed under: Pan troglodytes (chimpanzee)
Lineage: Eukaryota; Metazoa; Chordata; Mammalia; Primates; Hominidae
Description: lincRNA
Source: RNAcentral
AUUACCAAGGCAUCAGGGCAGAGACUCCCUGAGGUUAUGCUAGAAGGGUACCAUUUGAAAAGGAAGUGUAUGACCCACCGUGAAAUGGAACUGGUAGCUGGUCACCCAGGUGCUCUUCCUUGUUAACUGAUGAGAGCGAUUAUUAUGUGAGAACUUUAACAACCUGCCAAAGGAUCCCGGGUCAAGAAUGAGAGCUGAACCAUUGAAAAGCUGAGCAUUGAAGUGCCUGGGAAGCCCAAAACUCAGCACAUUCAUGCUUUUGCUGGUUUUUGACCAUUGAGAAGAAAAAAGCGUCAGCAACCAGGGAGCAGGAUGAGUGGAUCUGGUUCAGAACAUCUGUGAACACAGAGGGAGUGGAAACUUCACUUUCAACAUCAUCAGCCAACUUCCCUCCCAUUACAAUUCUAUCUCAAGAUCAAGGUCAUGCAACAAA